Molecule: non-coding RNA, 21 nt
Filed under: Caenorhabditis elegans
Lineage: Eukaryota; Metazoa; Nematoda; Chromadorea; Rhabditida; Rhabditidae
Source: RNAcentral
UUGGUCUCAAUUGGCCAUUGA